Molecule: long non-coding RNA, 265 nt
Organism: Cuculus canorus (common cuckoo)
Lineage: Eukaryota; Metazoa; Chordata; Aves; Cuculiformes; Cuculidae
Exons: 3
Source: RefSeq, a predicted model, not a curated record
UUCAGGCAAAACAAAUAAAUCUUCCUGGAUAAGAGCUGACAUGGAAUACUCCUGUCUUUUCACGUAGCCUCUGGAACUCCAGCUUCCAGGAAUGUGGUUUACUGCUACGAUAAGAGUUCUGUUACUCACAGUGUGGGAUAUGUAGACCAAAUGAAAUACAGCUUACGAUGCUUAAAAAUCACAGAACUACACAACCAUUUAGGUUGGAGAAGACCUUUAAGUUCAUCCAGUCUAAACUUUCCUGGCACAACUUGAGGCCGUUUCC